AUUAGCAGAAUGCAUGCAUUGUUAUUGUCGACAACUAUUGGUAUGUCACCAAAAGGGCAAUAUGGUGGUGUUUCCUAGUGAAAGGUGUACAAAACUCUUACAUUAUUUUCACAAAGAAGAGCCAGGCUAGUAUACAAAUGCACACAGGUGUUUCCUAACGAAAAAGGGGACAAAACGCUUACAUUGUUUUCACCAAGAAGAGCCAGGCUAUGAUACAAAUGUUUGUGUGUAUAUAUACCGACAUAUACUUAGAGCAUGUAUCAUCACCAUAUGCUACUGCGUUCUCUUCUUCCUCUCUGAAGGUUGUCACGUAUUUAUUUGUUAACUAUUGCUUUCAAAAAUUUUCCUUUUAACAUUUCAGUAGAUUGUCUGCUGCUCGGUUGGUAUGUAGUGCAUCGAUUAAGAUAUCUGCUUAGUAUGAAAGUAUGAUAACAUUAGUUCGAAAUAACAUGUUAUGUUUCUAUUGAUUAUGUCAAUGUUGCUCAACUAUAUAUUGAUCCUUAUUGGUGUCAUAACAGGUACUAAAGGGAGAAAAGCUAAGGAUAGUCCGUGAUCAUGGCUGCCCCUGCCCCUGCCCCUGGCCCUAGAAUAGUAUAUGAUGACAUGAUUGGGGAGUUUUGUCAUGACGCAAUGGUUGAUCUGAUGCUGGAGGAAAAUAUAGAUAUAACAGAUGUAAGAAUAUAUCCGAUGAACCGCUCCCCAUCUCCAAUCCCACCAGGAGAGGUAUAUCUUAUUAUCUACUACCAGCCCAACGACGAAAACAAUGCCAAUACCAUUUGUUGGCCGGCUCCGACUGUUUAUUAUAAUCAUGGUAUGGCUCCAGCUCAGCCGCCUAUGCCAGAUAUGUGACAAUUGGUUAGGUUGCCUAGCAAAGGCUACCUUUAUACAUUUUUAUGCCUUGAUAUAUGACAGGCAAGCAUCAAUUGUAUAAGCCGAAUGAGUGUGACAUCUGAAGUUCCUUUUGUGGUUGAUUUCAUGAGUACGUGUCUGUGACGAAUCUAUUGUGUAGUGUCCUACUCAAUAUAUGUAAUAAUAAAGAAUAAGAUGUCUUGUGUUGACGAGUAAUGUAUGUCAGUCCCUUUAGACACAAUUAUGACAUGAUUGACACUAGUACAAAGAAGCUCUGUACAUGUGGUUUGUAACCCAUUUGCACAAGCGUUUCUCAGAACCGCUGGCGCAAGAGGCCAGUGGAAAUAGAUCUUUUCGCUAGCGGUUAGCUGAGAACAGCUAGUGGAACCGCUAGUGGAACUACUAGCGGUUCAGUUAAGACAACCACCUGUGGACAUAUUUUCAUAGGCGACAGUGAAAAUGCUUGUUCAGAAAAUAGAAAUUGGAUUUUAAAAAUAGGAAAAAAAAAUAAAUCCUAGGCCCACUAGCUAGCUGUCCGCCCGUCUCCGUCAAAAAUGUAAGUCACGAAUUCUUUCACGUAAAAUAGCGUUUCUCAGAACCGCUGGCGCAAGAGGCCAGUGGAAAUAGAUCUUUUCGCUAGCGGUUAGCUGAGAACAGCUAGUGGAACCGCUAGUGGAACUACUAGCGGUUCAGUUAAGACAACCACCUGUGGACAUAUUUUCAUAGGCGACAGUGAAAAUGCUUGUUCAGAAAAUAGAAAUUGGAUUUUAAAAAUAGGAAAAAAAAAAAAUAAAUCCUAGGCCCACUAGCUAGCUGUCCGCCCGUCUCCGUCAAAAAUGUAAGUCACGAAUUCUUUCACGUAAAAUAUCACACUACAUAGCCGGCAGGAUUCGAACCCACGACCUACAUGUAGCCUCCUCUACCACUUUACCCAUCAUUCACUUGUGUUUAUAUUAGAGUUGGUUCCUCACAUAUUAUCCUAAACUGAGCGUACAUUGAUUAUUUGAGGGCUUAAACGAAUUCAAAUGAAAAAGUAACAACUACAAAGUUUCAUAAGUUUUCAAGCUCUACAACUUUUAUAUUGGUAGUUUUUCCAUCCAAGAUCAUUUACAAAAUUUAAAUGUCAAAUUUGACAAAUUCAAAUAUAGUUUUUGAUGACAAGAUGAUUUCAAAUAAAAAAGUUAUUAAAUACAAAGUUUUAUAACUUUUUCAGACCUACAACUUUCUUUUUAGUGGUUUUUUUAUACAGAAAACUCAAAAAAUAAAUUUCAAAUUAUUUCUAUAGGCGGUUUUCUUAAGAAACCACCACUAGAAAUCUGAUUCUUAGUGUCGGUUUCUUAAGAAAACUGUCUGUAAAAAUACUUUAUUUCUAGUGGCAGUCUUGGUAGAAAAACUGCAUGUGCAAAUCCAUUUACACUAG
RNAcentral lists this long non-coding RNA (2269 nucleotides) under Sorghum bicolor (sorghum). Its description in RNAcentral is "long non-coding RNA (SBIC_LNC009470)". The record is from RNAcentral. Lineage: Eukaryota; Viridiplantae; Streptophyta; Magnoliopsida; Poales; Poaceae.